This 3462-nucleotide small RNA is filed under the name Arabidopsis thaliana (thale cress). RNAcentral describes it as "ATSL047660". Lineage: Eukaryota; Viridiplantae; Streptophyta; Magnoliopsida; Brassicales; Brassicaceae. The record is from RNAcentral.
UUUUUUUUUGAUUUUGAUGUGCGCGCUUAGAGCUGAGCGUAUCCGUCGUCGCGGAAAUUCGGGUUCAGGAAACCAACACAAGGCUUGUCACGCUUAGCCAUGUUGAUCUGCCAAAGAGGAUUAGUGACGUUGGUAAGUUGGGUUUAGGGACUGGGUGGGUCGUUUUCAUGCUAGGCGAUGAGCUCGGCUUUAGAUCUCAAUGAGUUGAGCAGAUCGAGGCUUGUGGAGAGAUCGACAUAGGGAGAAGCGAGCUCGUCAUAGAAGAAGUUUGGUUUGCAGAUUACUUUGAUCACCGUGAGCUAUCCUUUGCGACAAUUCCGUUAAGUGUGGAGCUCGGCUUAGAGUAUGCUCGACGAGUUGGCGAGAUUCGUUUGGGAGGCGAGCUUGAGGAGCCGGAAGCGGAGCUCGGCGAAGAUGAUGUGCGGUCUAGCGAGGUUGAGAGAUUCGUUCCACCUUCAGUUAUCGCGGAUUUAAUGCGGAUCUCAAUGGAUUGGAUCUUAGCGACCGUGAGGGAGAGUUUAGCGAGUAUGGCGGACUGGGUUGUCUCAUGGUGGGGAACGGGUUUGACAAUUUGGUUGUGAAUAACUGAGACAAGGGUGCACAUAGUGAACAUGAGAAAGAGCUUGGUCGUAUGAUUAAGGAGCGACGUGUUGGCGAGUGUUAGGAGAUUUGUGUUGUGGAGAUACUUUCUUAGGAAAAUUGGCUAACUUUUUCCCUCUUUCUUUUGAGAGGUUUGGCCAUGCGAUAUUGCCUAUUGUCGUUGCUCCAAUGAGUUUGGUACUUCAGAGAUUUUUGUGUUUUGCGCCUUGUCGACAAGACUUCUUCUCUGGUCGGUGAGACCUUUUGACAGGUUUUAUGCUAUUACUUCCCAAGGUCAGAGCAACUUCAAGUCGUCGGGUCGACUAGUUGGUCGAGUCGGCAAGGCCUCCUGCACCUGAUUGGUGUGGUUUCCUUCACCUGGUCGGCAAUUUUAUUCACUUGGUCGGCUUGACUUCUUCUAAAGUUGGCAUUGCUUCUUCAUCGGGUCGGCGAGCUAGACAAGUUGGACGAGUUGUGCAGUUAAGCGAUGAAUCGACAGCUACACGACGAGUUAGAUGAGCUAUAGAGUCAAGGGACGAGCCGACAUUUAAACGAGGAGAUGGACGAGCUGUGGAGUCAAGGGAUGACCUGACAUGUAUGCGAGGAGAUAGUUUCUCAGGAGAUGUGAAGAGCUUGGAGACGAGCUAAGAGACUUAAGGACGAGUUGAGAAGCUUGAAGACGAGCUCGAUGUGGUAGUUGGACGAGGUGUUGUCAGUUGACGAGCAAGAACUGUCGGGUUGACAAUUUAACAGUCGACAAGCAGGAACUGUAGGAUUGAUGAGCUCACAGUUGAGAGCAGGAAUUCUCGGGUUGACGGCUUUCAAAUUGACGAGCGUUUGACGAGCAGGAACGGAUGGAUAAACGAGAAGAAAUGUCAAAUUGACGAGAUCAGCGUUGCGAGCAGGUAUAUCGGAUUGAUGAGCUAAUAGUUGACGAUAGAGAACUUUCGGAUUGAUAAGACGGAACUGUCAGAUUGAUGAGGUGAUAGUUGACGACCACAUAGUCUUAUUGAUGAUAUAACUGUGAGGUGGACAGGAUUCUCAUGACGUUGAAGCUCCGCAGUUAGGCCGUUUUGAGAUGAGCUGGCGGUUAGGCGAACUAAGUAGCUAGGCGACGAGCUAUCAGUUAGGCGACGAGCUAGUUGGUAAGUGACGAGCUGGCUGCUAGGAGACUAGCUAUCAGUUGGACAACGAGCUGGCUACUUGGCGACGAGCUAGCUUCUAGGCGUUGAGUUGACCGCUAGGCGACGAGCUUGAUGCCAUGCGACAAACUGGCGGCUAGGCAACGAGCUGGACGAAGAAGAUGGUGGCUAUCGAGUCGGGUCGAGGUCGGUUAAGACGAGUUUGUCAAGUUAAGUCCUCUUGGUUGCAGUUUUAUUGAGAUUGGAAUAGUCAGUCUUGGCAGCCUUUGAAGGAAGAUAGCAGGUGCAGGUGAGUAACCGGGUCGGCUUGAGGGGUAUGCUUGAUUCCCUACUCUUUCAACGGUUAUGUUGAGGUGCUCGGCCGUCUUUGCAUCAUGUUGGUUGAUUCAGUUGAAGAAAGGUCUAACUUUGGUGCUGAGCAGAGUUAUAUCCUUCAUAGUAGUUUGUAAUUUUUAGAGCUCACGAUCGCUCGCACCGAUAUAGUGGUCUUCUAUUCGGUAUGUUCGAGUGUCGAUGUUCGGCCGGUUGUCACGGUUCAGCGCAUUUUCACGGGUGUGCUCGUCGAUGGACCCAACAACGAUAGAAGCAGGCCUAUUGCGUCGGUUCACCGGUCUUUCCAUGAAAAGAGUUACUGGGGCGGGACUGUUUUGUCAUCGCUGAGCUGUCGACCGGCGCGAGCUGCGGAGGACUGGAGUUGCUCGAUCUGAUUCUACGAUGCCUUCUGGGCAGCGACAAUCACGUUGAUGCGUUCGGUAGUUCUUGUGUUCUGUAAGUCGAGUCGGUCGAGGAAAGAUCGGAUGACUUCGUCAAGAUUGGUUCUUCGUGAAGUUGUUUCUCCGAGUUCGGCAGGAGCUGCGACAGGAGCUGCGGCUGGAACUGCGACAUGAGCUGCGGCUGGAACUGCGACAGGAGCUCCGGCUGGAGGUGGCGUCGUUGGCCAAACUGGUGGUGGCGUCGUUGGCCGAGCUGGUGGUGGCGUCGUUGGCCGAGCUGGUGGUGCGGCACGAGGCGCGAUGGUUCUGACUCCUUGUUCGUUCGAGGUUUCCGUCAUCUCGUCGUGGCUCUCCGGGAUUACUGGCAACAUCGUAGCUGCUCGUCAAUAUCAGAAGAAAACUCUGCCUAGCCCCACGGUGGGCGCCAAUUGUUUGUACCGAGGUUGUAACAAUAAUUAUUAAGGGGUUUGGGGAGAACGGAGUAGCUUCUUUAUUAAUGACGAACGAAAAGACAAUAAUUAACAGAACGGAAAACCGUAAGUACAGAACGGAGAACCGAAAGUACAGGUCGGAAAAUCGAUAUUAAUGGUCGGAAAACCAGAAAAUACAGAACGGAAAACCAGAAAAUAAGAGAUAAAGAGGUAGGCAGCAAUUCUCUCUUAAAUCCUCUGAGUGGUGACUUAGGUUCUGGAUCCCUCUUCUUAGUAGUGUCUCCUCUUAUUUAUAGGCAAGAAGCUGAUCUAGGGUUCUCUUAGUCUCUCUAGCGAUUUCUCCGUUUUGCCCUUCUGAAUUUAUCGGGCUGGGCCAAACCGUGAUGGGCCGAGCUGUGAUGGGCCGAGCAGUCAUUCUGAUGGGCCGUUGUUCUGAUGGGCCGUUCUUCCUUGUUAGUAGCUUUCUUGACUUGUUCUAUUUGUGUUUGGGCCGAAUUGGGCAUGGAGGGCAAAGCCCGUAUCCCACAAUCUCAUUGGCGGUCCGACACUUCACCUAGAACAUGACAGAGAAAUCGACUCGAUGUACAUUGAGGGUAU